Leopardus geoffroyi (Geoffroy's cat) is the source of this 5041-nucleotide long non-coding RNA. RefSeq lists it as uncharacterized. The record is from RefSeq and is a predicted model, not a curated record. NCBI's taxonomy places the organism in Eukaryota, Metazoa, Chordata, Mammalia, Carnivora, Felidae. The transcript has 6 exons.
UAACUGUUUGUGCUGGUACUUUUCCUUUCUGCCUGUUGGCAUCUGUGUUACUCUAAUGCUUCUAAUAAGAGCACUAGAAGAUCUUCCUUACUUGCUCUAAUACAAGAUAUAAUUGACUGCAUUGGUUGAUCAGGCCAAUAUCUGGAGUUUCCUUAAUUUUAACUUUUGCCCAAAGUCUUCAAUAGGUCUCUAUGGAUCCUCAGAUGGUAAUAUAUAAUCCAUUCUAUCCCUAAAUCACCUCUUGGAUCAUUUUGGAAGGGUUCGUAAGUCAGGUAUAUUUGCUAUUGUUCUGCUGCCUUUCACAAGUAUGUUCAAUAUAUGCUUUACCAGAGAGAUGCCUAAUAAGAUUCCAAAUGAUUCGUACUAUGGUAAAGCAGAAUAAGAUAAUUGUUGCGGACAACAUUAGCAUCCAAAUUAUACUAGCCCUAUCAAUUUUGUCUAUUCAAAGGUUGGUUAUAAUUUCAAUAAGAUACCAUAAAUAGUAAACAGUAUCUUAAGUUUAAAAUUUGUCAAGCCGUUAAUGGGCUUUUUCAGAUUUUUGUUAAUAUAAAUUUAUUAUAAUUUAUCACUUGUUUCAAAUUUAAAUGGAAUAUGACAUAUUUCACAGCAAUGACUGCUGUUAAUUAUUAUUACUUUGGUUCAGGUUGCAGACUAUACCAAUUGUUUUGUUUGAGGAGGUGAAUUAAAGCUCAGCGACUGAGUUUGUCUUUGCCAAAAAUGUUCUCAACACAGCUUCACUGGGAAUUUUACAAGCCACCUGCACACAGGGUAGUAAUGUCUUUUAAUAAAGCCAAUAAAGAAAUGCUAUAGCCCGAACCAAUGAUAAAUGAACCACACUAUUGUCCCAGGAAAAGGGAGAUGAUAGGAAUAAAGUCCAAAUUUAGUUGAGGCAUACUUUUGUUAAAAAAAAAAAAAAAGUUAACUGAGUAAAUUAGAAUAUCUAAUUGAUUUUAUUAAGCAAUUUAUGAAUCCAACAGCAUCACAAAUAGCAAAUAAAGAGAUGCUCUGAGGAGUUGUACAAAUGGAAGGUUUUUAUAAGAGGGAGAAUGGGGCAAGGAAAUUAUCAGCAAAAGAAAAGAAAGUUUAGUCUCAGGCCAGGAAAGCUUCUUUGAAGUGGGGAGGGACCAGCAGGGUUUGUUAUCAUGCAGAUCACCUCACUGGUGCCGAUCAGGAAAUUUCAGAUUGACUUAAUUUUUUUUAAGGAGGCUCCACACCCAGUAUGAAGGCCAGCUUGGGCUUGAACUUAUGACCCUGAAAUCAAGAGUCCGAGGCUUAAUCAACUGAACCACCGAGGUACCCCCAGAUUCACUUUUAAAAGGUCACAUUGUUGGGGCAACUGGUUGGUUCAGUCAGAAGAGCAUGCCACUCUUGAUAUCAGGGUCAUGAGUUAGAGCCCCAUGAUGGGUGUUAGAGAGUACUUUUAAAAAUAAAUAAAAGGCCACAUUCCUGGGAUAGGGUGAAAUUGUAACUAAAUCUUGGUUUGUUGCUGUUGGGGGCAAAGGACUCCAUUUUGGAUUUCUCUUUUUAACACUUUAUAGGAGUUGACACUCAAGAGAGGCUUAGUCAAGUGAAAACUGACAUCCAGAAGUCAGUGCAAUAAAGUUCUGUGUUGCUAGAGCUUGUUGCUAGGGAACAAGGGCACGGGUGUUGUUUAGCAAGAUGAUCUUCCCUACGAUGCUACUUGGCUUUGCCCCUGCUUUUAAGAGAGUUGUCUUUACUGGGGGCAGGAACUAAUUGUCUCAGGGUCUUUGGGAACUAUUUUAAAUCAGCAAAGUUUAUGAUUGCUCAGAGCAAGCAUUCUCCAAUAGUCCCCACAGCUCUCAUUAUUUAUGGUCUCAUGUCUCCUUGACAGUUACAUCAUCUGUUUUCAUUGAUAAGCUGCCAGCCAGGCCCCUCAGCAGCUGAGUUGCUGAGUUUUGAUGGGCAAGAACAGAUGAGAUGAUGAUGUCCUGACACAACUUCCUUCAUUCUUAUAUCAAAACAACUUUACCUCUGAAAACAGUUUGUCCUUCUCAUAAACAAGUGGACUUGACAUCAUACCAAACCAAUACACAACAUAGGCAGAGCUGGAAGAAUCUGGACUGUCUGGCCAUUGGGGGCCGGGAAUAAUAUCCUUGGAUGAUAGAUACCUGGGAGGCUGGAGAAGCCUAGGACCCCCGUCAGAUAGCCAAUCCAAAUGAGCACAACCUGUCACAAAUUUAAAGCUGCCUCCUGACAAAGACUUUCAUGUGGAGGGUUCCCUACACCCUGAGGCAAUUCAGGUGACUGGGUUCUGAACAGAAUUUCACAGGCUUGGAGGAUCCCCUGUAGCCCUAGUCCUGCUGAUGAGGCGUGGACUGCAUGUGCCCACUGCGUGGGUCAGGAUAGCCUGGAACGAGGCAAUGUUGAAGGAAGCCAGGUCACAGGAUGGGGCUAUUCAGAGUAUGAGUCAGCAGCCUAAUAUGCAGGGCCUACGAGCCCAUACGGAGUUUUCCCCACAAGGCAGAGCUGAAGGUUUUCCAUCUGCUUUUCCAGGGAGGGAACACUGGCAGGACAGGAUAUCCUCCAUUUAGACGUAUCUGGGAGUCCUGGUCCCUAGAGAAGCCUAGGACACCAUUGGCUGCAAGUUCACAUGGGAACCAUUGCCCAUUUGCAGCUUUCACUCAGGGUGAUUUUUGAAAGGUGGGCUCCCUCCAUGCUAAAAGCUAUGAGGGUGAUUGGAGCCUGGCGGGAGUUUGACAAGUUUAGAGAGCUGCGUCUGCCCAAGUCCAGCUUCUGGGUGCAUAAUGCACAUGUACAGGCUACACAGGUAAAGCCAGGGACAUGGAAGAGGGCAAUGUUGGGCAAGACCCAGUCACCUGAGGGGGCUUUGGAGGUAACGGACAUGUACCUAAUCCCAAACUUUCACCUACACAAAUAGACGUUCUCACUGAAGGCAGAUCUGGAGUAAUCUGGAGUGCCUGAUCAGGUUUAAUCAGCGGUCUGGCUAGAGUAUCCUCUAAUAAGGACACCUGGCAACCUUGAUUACUGCAGAAGUCCCAGAACCCAGCCGACACUAAGUCUUCAUGGGCUCUGCCCAGCUCCCAUUUCAGAGGCUGUUCAGGGUGUUGGGUCCCUGCACCUUGAGACUGUGCAGGUGGUUGGGGAUGGGUCUCAGCUCCAAAGGCCUGGUGGCCCCAGCUGCUGAAGGACAGCUAAUGGGGUACAUACUCCUCAUGAUGUGGGCUGUGCAGGUUAAUGUAGCCGUGGACCCGAGAAAAGGUGAGUGUCUUUUAAGGCCAGGUCACAAGACCAGACUAUUAGAAGUACCAGGCAUCUGUCUAAUUAUAAGGCUCCACCUAACAAAUGUGUAUUUUCCCCUUUAAGCAGAGCUGGAGAAAUCUGGACGGCCUUACUAGGACCAGCUGGAAUGCUCCCUUAUAAGACACAGCUGGGAUCCUUAAUUGCUGGACAAGUCAGCUCCCUAUCAGACAGUUCGAACGGGGCCUGACAGUUCCCAGUUUAACUUAGGGCUUCAGAAAAAUUUGGGGGGGGGUGUGGGCUCUCUCCACCCUGAAGGCUAGCAGGUGAUAGACAACUGGUUCGAACCUCACAGGCCUGGAGGAUUCCAACAGCCAAAAGCUGGCAGACGGUGUGGAAUGUACAUUACAGCUGGCGGGUCAUGAUUGCCAGCGUCCCGGAACAGAGCAUAUCAGGUAGAGCUAGAUGUUUUCAACUGCCUUGCCCGGGUGGGGACCUGCCAGCAAGACAGCUUACCUUUCAUUUGGAGACACCUUGAAGUCCUGGUCCCUAGAGAAGCCCAGGACCCCAUCAGGCACAUAGUUGGCAGGAUAAACUUUCCUAGCGGGAUACUGCUGAAGCUGAGAAAUCCUGGGACAUCUGACAAAAAGCCAGCAAAAGGCCACCUAGAAGAACCUCGAAGGGUAGAAUAAAAGUUUUCCUUUCCAACAUUUGGCAUAGUCAGUAGGAUACACUUCCCUCACUGGACACUGUUUGCUUUGAGGCUCUUGAAGCUGACACAUCCUGGAACAUCUGACAAACAGCCAGCAGAAGAUAUAAGAAAGCCUUUCCUCUUAAACUAAAUAUGACUCACAGCAAUUUGGUAAAUUGUACCUUUGUAAGUAGAAUUGCAACAUCUAUCUUUCUCCCCUACCUGAUCUCUCCAGAAUUUGGAAUCUCUCAGUGAGCAUUCUUAUGGUUUCAUAGAAAUAUUUGCCUAAGAUCAAUAAGAAUCUUUUCUCUUUGUGACAAGACACAGUUGGAAACAUUGGUUAUAUUACCAAGGCUUUGACUGAAAUGUCAUAUUUGAGACAAACAUGCAUAGACUCAGAUUUAUGAGUCUAUGCUUUAUGGAACUAAGGAUGACUUAAUGGAGCCAAUAAAUCCCCCUAGGAAUAUCAGCCUGCUAUCUUGCUUACAAGGAUCUCAGCAGCCUUACCAGAAAUGCCUCUUAUUUAAUACCUGCUUGAACCAUGAGCCUAACUUUGGGAACACACACACAUCACCACUUCCUGAAAUGAAUUUAGUAGAACUGACCUAUUUUCAACUCUAAGAGACUAGCUCAGUGAGAUAAAACAAUCUACCAGCUCACAUUUUAGUAUGUGGAGUUUCUAAGGAACUCUAGGGGCCCAGGCCAGGCCACCCUAAAAUAUGCCACUUUGUCAUGUUAUUUUGAAUGAAAGCUGUUUAAGAACAGAAGAACAUUCUGACUCUCUUUGUCUCCAGAUAGCAGGAAAUAAAUCUCCAAUGUGAAAGCUAUCCUUCCUGCAUCAGGGAGCAGAAAGACAUCCUCAUCACCUGAAAUAGGUAUUUAGAGCCAAGAAGACUGUAUAACUUUUACUAGUUUACUUUUACUAGUUUACUACCUCAGCCCAAAUUCUGUUUAGAAUUGUAUGCUAAUUAAAGCCAAUGAACAUAAGUUUUCUCUGCUUUGUCCAUUCCUCACAGAUUUAUGGUUCUUUGCCUAAACAUACAACAGCUGCUUGCUUUGGUCAUGUGGGGAGUCUCAAUUUCAUUAUUGGACAUCUGUGUAUACAAAAUAAAAAUUUUUUUCUUGUGUUAA